CACGGCCCGCGCCGGCGCGAGCACCUGCGCGGGGCGCUCCGCGUGCCGGCAGCACCCUCUGCUCCCCCCGGCCCCCACCCCCGGCCCAGCUUCACGCCCGCAGCGCAGGGAAGAGGUUUUCGGCCUUUCCCCUCCCAUUCAAACCACGGAGGCGGUAUCCGGGACACUUCAAGAGAGGCUUCUCUUUGCUUACCCUUCCUUUUAAACUCAAUUUUACCACCCUUCCGAUCAUUCAGCCCAUAGGUUUUUUAAAGCAAAUAUCUCCUUCAGAACAUCCUCUCUAUUUAUUGACACCGGGACUGAAAAAAGUGUCACCUCCUAUUGACUCAGUAAAUAUUUGGUCAUUCCUUCCAGAAAGAGAAUUUGUUUUGCAGUUCACAUGCAGUUAAGUCCCACGGCACUACAGAAAAUACAUUCGCCUUCUCCUUGGUGAAGUUACAGCAAUCACACUACAACCUAGAGACUGAAAGAAAAGAAAUGUUUAUCGAUUACUUCUGCCAUAACUUUGUACAGAGAAUAAUACACUCUGCUGGUCUUCAAUAUACUUCUUUUAUUUAGUCAUGAAGAGAGAAGCAAAAAGCAACAGGGAAUCUAUUUCUUUAAGAAGAAUUUGGAAUAAAGAACUACAUAACCUUGAUCUCUUUCAAAUCAGGAAUUGCUUCAAGCAGAAUACACAAAUGCUCUUCAAAAUGAAGACUGAAAUACAAUUCUGUUGACUCUCUGCAGGGUAAUAACACAGGGCAAUAUUGUGCUUCCACAGUUCACAGACUGUCUUUUAAAGAGAACUGUUAAAUGUAGGUGUCUCCAAUUUAUCAACCCUUCCCAGCACAAGGAUUUACUUUUCAUCACCUUUUGCAGUCCUUCUCGCCUGCUGGCUCACAGGAGCUACUUUCAUCCUUCCUCUGAACUAUUUUCACACAGAUACAAUAUAUGGAUGGGAAGUACAAUACACUGAUGCAAGUUGGACUAAUGGCAAAACUGAAGUCAUAAUUUCAGAUAACCAUGCACUGGAGACAAGGCAUACGCCAUGACUGAGAACCCUCACAGGCCAUCCGGUGUCCCAGAGUACCUCAGCUCUUCACAGCUUCAGUUGCUCCAUACUCAGCAUAAGUGAACUUUCCACUCACAGAUCAACUCAAGUGAAAUCAUUAAAGAUGGUCCCCUCAUUUUACUGCACAGACAUUCAAAUGCAAAACCAUAUCAUAAUUGUAUACUUGUACUGUCUCAUUUUCAAGUGUCUAGUUAGAGCUCAUGUUCUCUACCUGGACAGAGAGAGAUCUCUAGCAUAGAAAAAUCCAACUGUAAUGUACACAUCUUUAUUAAAUGCCUAAAGCUAACUUACUUGAAAUGU
Long non-coding RNA from Pogoniulus pusillus (Red-fronted tinkerbird), 1351 nucleotides. RefSeq lists it as uncharacterized. The record is from RefSeq and is a predicted model, not a curated record. The transcript has 2 exons. NCBI's taxonomy places the organism in Eukaryota, Metazoa, Chordata, Aves, Piciformes, Lybiidae.